Molecule: ribosomal RNA, 902 nt
Filed under: Muyocopron castanopsis
Lineage: Eukaryota; Fungi; Ascomycota; Dothideomycetes; Muyocopronales; Muyocopronaceae
Description: bacterial SSU rRNA
Rfam family: Eukaryotic small subunit ribosomal RNA (bases 240-902)
Source: RNAcentral
GGGCAAGUCUGGUGGACCGUUCAGUCUCGAGAUGCUGACGCCAGAGAUAGUGGGGCCCCCCGCAGGUUGGCUGCGGCGGGGGGUUACGCCCGCUAGUCGAGCGCCCACGGCAGCGGUGGGUGGGCGCCGGCGAGGUGACUGGUACGGGGAAGCCUAAGGGCCCGCGGGCCUACGGUGAUCCCGUGGCGAGCCUCCCCCCCGAGCGGGUGGGUGGGAGGCCGUCGUAACGCGCGGAAAGGCACCGGCCGCCAGCCUUCGCUGGCGGCUCGAGGGACGUGCUGACCCAUCCGAAAGGAUGCCCCCGGCUGGAGCGCCCACCGCGCGAAGGCCGGGGGGGACGGGACCCCCCGUCCGGACGAGGAAUCGGCCAGCAGCCGCGGUAAUUCCAGCUCCAAUAGCGUAUAUUAAAGUUGUUGCAGUUAAAAAGCUCGUAGUUGAACCUUGGGUCAGGCUAGCCGGUCCGCCUUACCGCGUGCACUGGUUCGGCCGGACCCUUUCCUCUGGCAAACCGCAUGCCCUUCGCUGGGCGUGCCGGGGAACCAGGACUUUUACUUUGAAAAAAUUAGAGUGUUCAAAGCAGGCCUUUGCUCGGAUACAUUAGCAUGGAAUAAUGGAAUAGGACGCGUGGUUCUAUUUUGUUGGUUUCUAGAACCGCCGUAAUGAUUAAUAGGGACAGUCGGGGGCAUCAGUAUUCAGACGCGAGAGGUGAAAUUCUUAGACCGUCUGAAGACUAACUACUGCGAAAGCAUUUGCCAAGGAUGUUUUCAUUAAUCAGUGAACGAAAGUUGGGGGAUCGAAGACGAUCAGAUACCGUCGUAGUCUCAACCGUAAACUAUGCCGACUAGGGAUCGGGCGACGUUCCAAUCAUGACUCGCCCGGCACCUUACGAGAAAUCAAAGUCU